This 685-nucleotide long non-coding RNA is filed under the name Olea europaea subsp. europaea. The record is from RNAcentral. Lineage: Eukaryota; Viridiplantae; Streptophyta; Magnoliopsida; Lamiales; Oleaceae.
CUCAUUUCAUAAUUCCACACUUACCAACUGGAAUAAGACUACAUUGGCACAUUCAUAAUUUGAAGUUCGAAAGUUGAAAGAAGACAACAUUGCCACAUGCUCUAAACUACUACAAACUGGAAUUGCGUUGCCACUACAUUACGCUACAUAAACACAUGCCGUACUACACACUAAUACAACGACUCAAGUUUCACAUUCCAAGUCCUUCUCAUCUUCCGAAACUCGUGUCCCCUUGCACAUCUUUAUGUUCAGGGAAAUCUCCAAAUCCUUCUCAUCCGUUAGAUUAGCGAGCGGAUUUCAACAUAUGCGACAAAUCAUCCACAUGCUCAGUUUCGUUUGUAAUGCCACUUGAGUCCCCAUCGUCAUGCACUAUACAUUUUUCAUUGGGUUUAUUUUUACACCAUUUGAAGAAUUUGCAAUAGCGGGUAUAACAAUGAAACGAUAGCCCUUUAUGCUCAUUGUUCUUUUUCACCUCCAUCCAUUUGACGAAUCCUACACCGUAGUUGGGCAUCUUCUCUUUUUGGGGCAUUCCAACAUCGUAUGUCCCGACAUUCUACAACAAUGACAAAUUCCCCUAUUCUUGCCCGCCAUCCCAGUAUCCUGGUUCAACCACAUCAAGGAACUAAUGAAUGUUGCAACUAAUUCAAUGUCUAAUUCAAAUUACAGAAGAAUUCUACCAUUAAAG